RNAcentral lists this transfer RNA (68 nucleotides) under Marmota monax (woodchuck). RNAcentral describes it as "tRNA.Ala". The record is from RNAcentral. Lineage: Eukaryota; Metazoa; Chordata; Mammalia; Rodentia; Sciuridae.
GGAUUGUGGCUUAGUGGUAGAGCGCUUGCCUAGCAUGUGCGAGGCCCUGGGUUCAAUCCUCAGCACCA